This 256-nucleotide long non-coding RNA is filed under the name Elaeis guineensis (African oil palm). RNAcentral describes it as "long non-coding RNA (EGUI_LNC072710)". Lineage: Eukaryota; Viridiplantae; Streptophyta; Magnoliopsida; Arecales; Arecaceae. The record is from RNAcentral.
UGGUGGGCUCACGACACUCGUAGCUCACUAACUCACUUCCCAAACCCCAGGCUGAAACCCUAAGGAACACAUUGAAAACCCUGCACCCACUUUUAUUUCUUUUCUUUCUUUUUCUCUUGGAAGGUUUUGGACCUUCACCUCAUGCACAAGGCUUCCUCAUGCCCCAAGAUAUCCUCUAAAAUUUUCUAUGCAUGCCCCACCUUUCUGCUCUUUUUAAAACAAUGCAAGACGUGUCUUAUCCACGUGAGAGGAUAAA